Molecule: ribosomal RNA, 467 nt
Filed under: uncultured bacterium
Lineage: Bacteria
Description: partial 16S ribosomal RNA
Rfam family: Bacterial small subunit ribosomal RNA
Source: RNAcentral
GACGAACGCUGGCGGCGUGCUUAACACAUGCAAGUCGAACGGAAAGGCCCUGCUUUUGUGGGGUGCUCGAGUGGCGAACGGGUGAGUAACACGUGAGUAACCUGCCCUUGACUUUGGGAUAACUUCAGGAAACUGGGGCUAAUACCGGAUAGGAGCUCCUGCUGCAUGGUGGGGGUUGGAAAGUUUCGGCGGUUGGGGAUGGACUCGCGGCUUAUCAGCUUGUUGGUGGGGUAGUGGCUUACCAAGGCUUUGACGGGUAGCCGGCCUGAGAGGGUGACCGGCCACAUUGGAACAGAGAUACGGCCCAGACGACUACGGGCGGCAGGAGUGGGAAUAUUGCACAAUGGGCGGAAGCCUGAUGCAGCAACGCCGCGUGCGGGAUGACGGCCUUCGGGUUGUAAACCGCUUUCGCCUGUGACGAAGCGUGAGUGACGGUAAUGGGUAAAGAAGCACCGGCUAACUACGUG